Molecule: non-coding RNA, 89 nt
Filed under: uncultured Anaerovibrio sp.
Lineage: Bacteria; Bacillati; Bacillota; Negativicutes; Selenomonadales; Selenomonadaceae
Description: TPP riboswitch (THI element)
Rfam family: TPP riboswitch aptamer (THI element)
About the family: Vitamin B(1) in its active form thiamin pyrophosphate (TPP) is an essential coenzyme that is synthesised by coupling of pyrimidine and thiazole moieties in bacteria. The previously detected thiamin-regulatory element, thi box was extended, resulting in a new, highly conserved RNA secondary structure, the THI element, which is widely distributed in eubacteria and also occurs in some archaea. Analysis of operon structures identified a large number of new candidate thiamin-regulated genes, mostly transporters, in various prokaryotic organisms.
Source: RNAcentral
UCACUGGGGGAACCUUUGGCUGAGAGGCAGUAUUUACUGCCGACCCUUUGAACCUGUUGGGAUAAUACCUGCGUAGGGAAGUGAAAAGA